Cornus florida is the source of this 207-nucleotide small nucleolar RNA. RefSeq annotates it as small nucleolar RNA U3. NCBI's taxonomy places the organism in Eukaryota, Viridiplantae, Streptophyta, Magnoliopsida, Cornales, Cornaceae. The record is from RefSeq and is a predicted model, not a curated record. The transcript has a single exon.
ACGACCUUACUUGAACAGGAUCUGUCCUACGGGCUAGUAGUACCCUUGUAUUCUUGAGAUCUAUGGAGGCAAGAACCUAAGUCUGGUGGAUGAACCAUGACCGCGUGAUUAGCGGCUCUCUGGUCCAUGUGACCUCUAGGGCUGUGGAGGAUAGUUCCAAGCUCUGGGCUUUGUCCUCUGUCCUCUGCCCUUACGGUCUGGUGGACG